Molecule: ribosomal RNA, 527 nt
Filed under: Bifidobacterium breve
Lineage: Bacteria; Bacillati; Actinomycetota; Actinomycetes; Bifidobacteriales; Bifidobacteriaceae
Description: bacterial SSU rRNA
Rfam family: Bacterial small subunit ribosomal RNA
Source: RNAcentral
GUGGUAAUGCCGGAUGCUCCAUCUCAUCGCAUGGUGUUUUGGGAAAGCCUUUGCGGCAUGGGAUGGGGUCGCGUCCUAUCAGCUUGAUGGCGGGGUAACGGCCCACCAUGGCUUCGACGGGUAGCCGGCCUGAGAGGGCGACCGGCCACAUUGGGACUGAGAUACGGCCCAGACUCCUACGGGAGGCAGCAGUGGGGAAUAUUGCACAAUGGGCGCAAGCCUGAUGCAGCGACGCCGCGUGAGGGAUGGAGGCCUUCGGGUUGUAAACCUCUUUUGUUAGGGAGCAAGGCAUUUUGUGUUGAGUGUACCUUUCGAAUAAGCACCGGCUAACUACGUGCCAGCAGCCGCGGUAAUACGUAGGGUGCAAGCGUUAUCCGGAAUUAUUGGGCGUAAAGGGCUCGUAGGCGGUUCGUCGCGUCCGGUGUGAAAGUCCAUCGCUUAACGGUGGAUCCGCGCCGGGUACGGGCGGGCUUGAGUGCGGUAGGGGAGACUGGAAUUCCCGGUGUAACGGUGGAAUGUGUAGAUAU